RNAcentral lists this ribosomal RNA (253 nucleotides) under uncultured bacterium. RNAcentral's name for it is "partial 16S ribosomal RNA". It matches the Rfam family "Bacterial small subunit ribosomal RNA", at positions 524 to 776 of the family's 1533-position model. The record is from RNAcentral.
UACGUAGGGGGCAAGCGUUGUCCGGAUUUAUUGGGCGUAAAGAGCGUGUAGGCGGCCAGGUAGGUCUGCUGUGAAAACUCGAGGCUUAACCUCGAGAUGUCGGCGGAAACCAUCUGGCUAGAGUCCGGAAGAGGAGAAUGGAAUUCCCGGUGUAGCGGUGAAAUGCGCAGAUAUCAGGAAGAACACCCGUGGCUAAGGCGGCUCUCUAGUACGGUACUGACGCUGAGACGCGAAAGCGUGGGGAGCAAACAGG